RNAcentral lists this ribosomal RNA (478 nucleotides) under uncultured bacterium. RNAcentral describes it as "partial 16S ribosomal RNA". It matches the Rfam family "Bacterial small subunit ribosomal RNA", at positions 28 to 523 of the family's 1533-position model. The record is from RNAcentral.
GACGAACGCUGGCGGCGUGCUUAACACAUGCAAGUCGAACGGUAAGGCCCUUCGGGGUACACGAGUGGCGAACGGUUGAGUAACACGUGGGUGAUCUGCCCUGCACUUCGGGAUAAGCCUGGGAAACUGGGUCUAAUACCGGAUAGGACCACUGCCUGCAUGGGUGGUGGUGGAAAGCUUUUGCGGUGUGGGAUGGGCCCGCGGCCUAUCAGCUUGUUGGUGGGGUGAUGGCCUACCAAGGCGACGACGGGUAGCCGGCUUGAGAGGGUGACCGACCACACUGGGACUGAGAUUCGGCCCAGACUCCUACGGGAGGCAGGAUUGGGGAAUAUUGCAGAAUGGGCGCAAGCCUGAUGCAGCGACGACGCGUGAGGGAUGACGGCCUUCGGGUUGUAAACCUCUUUCAGUAGGGACGAAGCGCAAGUGACGGUACCUACAGAAGAAGGACCGGCCAACUACGUGCCAGCCGCCGCCGUAA